AGGCGACUCUUAAAGUUGUUGCAGUUAAAAAGCUCGUAUUUUUAACCUUGGGUCUGGCUGGCCGGUCCGCCUCACCGCGAGUACUGGUCCGGCUGGACCUUUCCUUCUGGGGAACCUCAUGGCCUUCACUGGCUGUGGGGGGAACCAGGACUUUUACUGUGAAAAAAUUAGAGUGUUCAAAGCAGGCCUUUGCUCGUUUAUAUUAGCAAGGGUUAAUAGAAUAGGACGUUAUGGUUCUAUUUUGUUGGUUUCUAGGACCAUCGUAAUGAUUAAUAGGAACGGUCGGGGGCAUCAGUAUUCAGUUGCCAGAGGUGAAAUUCUUGGAUUUACUGAAGACUAACUACUGCGAAAGCAUUUGCCAAGGACGUUUUCAUUAAUCAAGAACGAAAGUUAGGGGAUCGAAGAUGAUCAGAUACCGUCGUAGUCUUAACCAUAAACUAUGCCGACUAGGGAUCGG
RNAcentral lists this ribosomal RNA (457 nucleotides) under uncultured eukaryote. Its description in RNAcentral is "bacterial SSU rRNA". It matches the Rfam family "Eukaryotic small subunit ribosomal RNA", at positions 606 to 1056 of the family's 1831-position model. The record is from RNAcentral.